Salvia splendens (bonfire salvia) is the source of this 1541-nucleotide long non-coding RNA. RefSeq lists it as uncharacterized. The transcript has 2 exons. Lineage: Eukaryota; Viridiplantae; Streptophyta; Magnoliopsida; Lamiales; Lamiaceae. The record is from RefSeq and is a predicted model, not a curated record.
UAUACUCCCAUCCGCCUACUGCUUCUCUCCCCCCUCUUUCUCUUUUCAUUUCUUCCACAAAAUUCCCAAAUUUGGGGGAAGACAAACCCUAGCUCGAUUUCUAGGUUGAGAUGGAGGCUCGAUCGCUAGGAAGGAGCAGCGACGUCGUCGGAGACCGCUAUCGUCGCGCUCCUCUGCCGCGCCUCUUGUCUCACCUCGCGCUCCCUCCGUUGCUCACGGUUCGCGCUUUUUCGCGUUCAAACGCCGCGCCACCACCGUCUUCAGGGUGAGCAACCGGCUUGCUGCUUUCUCCAGCCGUCUUCGCUGUGGCGAGACUGUCUCCCUCUCGGAGACUCAGCGUCAUCGGAGCAGGCAAGGGAGUAUCGCCGUCGAGCCUGGCCGCGGUCGGUCGUGUAGCCGUCGUCGCGCACUCGGUACGACAUCUGACCACGCGGUCUCCUUCUGGGCCUUCGGCGCGUGCUCCGGAUACCCGAUUACAGCUCCGUUCUUGUCGGCCAGAGCUAAGUCUCCAUUCCUCCCCUCAUUCCGAUUUCUUUGAUUUGUUCUAUUAAAAGUUCGUUCAAGACCUAGUAACAUCUUAAACUGAGCAGAGUUUGUGUUUUGGCCAAAUUCUUAAUUAGUUUCUGAUGAUACUGAUCUAGCGUUGGUAUCUGGUAGUUCUAUCAUCGUGUGAACGAUAAACUUCUAUUUCUUAUGCAAUAUCUGAGCUAGCUGAGCAGGGGUAUGUGGAGGUUUCACUACUUCACCUUACCCUAUCAUGUUGUCCAUUUUGAAUGAUGUUGGCCUAAAAAAAUGCUCUAAACCCUAAGUUGAUGAUAUGGUAUUCAAACUGAGUUCCGAAAAGAUUGGGUUUACUUCGCUGCUGACUGUAGCUUCCUGAUACUUCUGAUUAGCUCCUCGGCUCCAACUCCUAGCUUCAAAUCCUCCCUCACCUUACAAUUUGCUAUGUGACUGAGCAGGUAUGUUGUGGUGGGAGGAAGUGGAGCCAAGGGAGUGGUAUUUAUAGGAGGGUAUUAUAACUGAAAGCUGCAACUACUUGUUGCUUGGCUGGAAAAAGGCCUUAAGGCUGCUCCAUGUUGGUUGAUCUCCCUGCAGUUUGCAGGCUGCAUACUCGUGAAUUAAAUGUGCCAUUGUACCCCCCAAUCGUUGCUUUACUGCAGAGCCUUUGUUCUCUUUGUUUUUCUUGCUGCAUUUUCACUGGACUUUUGUGGGAUUCUGGCAGGUACUAUCUGGAGUAAGGGCUGUUGAACUGCAAUGUAAGCCACGCGGGGGCCUAUUCCCUAUGGCUGCACCCGUUCCAGUUCGGCCCAAUGACUGUUGAGAAAUCUGGGCUGAAAUCCUUUGUUGAAGAGGCCUGAAAUUAGCAGUUCUCGGUUGUAUCAAGACGGUGUUUCUACUUGAAGUCACAUGUUGUAAUAGUGUAGGAAAAGCUUAUUUCCAAUAUUUUUCUUUUGUCAACAAUUGUAAUUUAAUAGCUUUGAAAUUCUGGCAUUUUAUUUAUACUCUUAUUCAAGAAAUAAAAAUACUCCUUCAUUCUUAAA